This 467-nucleotide ribosomal RNA is filed under the name uncultured bacterium. RNAcentral's name for it is "partial 16S ribosomal RNA". It matches the Rfam family "Bacterial small subunit ribosomal RNA", at positions 28 to 506 of the family's 1533-position model. The record is from RNAcentral.
GACGAACGCUGGCGGCGUGCUUAACACAUGCAAGUCGAACGGAAAGGCCCUGCUUUUGUGGGGUGCUCGAGUGGCGAACGGGUGAGUAACACGUGAGUAACCUGCCCUUGACUUUGGGAUAACUUCAGGAAACUGGGGCUAAUACCGGAUAGGAGCUCCUGCUGCAUGGUGGGGGUUGGAAAGUUUCGGCGGUUGGGUAUGGACUCGCGGCUUAUCCGCUUGUUGGUGGGGUAGUGGCUUACCAAGGCUUUGACGGGUAGCCGGCCUGAGAGGGUGACCGGUAACAUUGGGACUGAGAUACGGCCCAGAAUCAUACGGGAGGCAGCAGUGGGGAAUAUUGCACAAAGGGCGGAAGCCUGACGCAGCAACGCAGCGUGCGGGAUGACAGCCUUCGGGUUGUAAACCGCUUUCGCCUGUGACGAAGCGUGAGUGACGAUAAAGGGUAACGGAGCACCGGCGGACUACGU